Molecule: ribosomal RNA, 449 nt
Filed under: uncultured Methanolinea sp.
Lineage: Archaea; Methanobacteriati; Methanobacteriota; Methanomicrobia; Methanomicrobiales; Methanoregulaceae
Description: bacterial SSU rRNA
Rfam family: Archaeal small subunit ribosomal RNA
Source: RNAcentral
UGGAGCCUGCGGUUAAUCGGACUCAACGCCGGGCAGCUCACCGGAUAAGACAGCUGGAUGAUAGCCGGGCUGAAGACUCUGCUUGACUAGCUGAGAGGAGGUGCAUGGCCGUCGUCAGUUCGUACUGUGAAGCAUCCUGUUAAGUCAGGCAACGAGCGAGACCCACGCCAACAGUUGCCAGCAUGUCCUCCGGGAUGAUGGGGACACUGUUGGGACCGCCUCUGCUAAAGAGGAGGAAGGAAUGGGCAACGGUAGGUCAGCAUGCCCCGAAUUAUCCGGGCUACACGCGGGCUACAAUGGUCAGGACAAUGGGUAUCGACACCGAGAGGUGGAGGCAAUCUCCUAAACCUGUCCUUAGUUCGGAUUGUGGGCUGCAACUCGCCCACAUGAAGCUGGAAUCCGUAGUAAUCGCGUUUCAAAAUAGCGCGGUGAAUAUGUCCCUGCUCCUU